RNAcentral lists this non-coding RNA (31 nucleotides) under Mus musculus (house mouse). The record is from RNAcentral. Lineage: Eukaryota; Metazoa; Chordata; Mammalia; Rodentia; Muridae.
UGAAAUGGAACCUAGUGUAGGAAUUCUGCCA